Molecule: ribosomal RNA, 253 nt
Filed under: uncultured bacterium
Lineage: Bacteria
Description: partial 16S ribosomal RNA
Rfam family: Bacterial small subunit ribosomal RNA
Source: RNAcentral
UACAGAGGGUGCAAGCGUUAAUCGGAAUUACUGGGCGUAAAGCGUGCGUAGGUGGUCUGUUAAGUCAGGUGUGAAAUCCUUGGGCUUAACCUGAGAAUUGCAUUUGAAACCAGCAGACUAGAGUGUGGUAGAGGGUAGUGGAACUCCCGGUGUAGCGGUGAAAUGCGUAGAUAUCGGGAAGAACACCAGUGGCGAAAGCGGCUACCUGGACCAACACUGACACUGAGGUACGAAAGCGUGGGGAGCAAACAGG